RNAcentral lists this ribosomal RNA (459 nucleotides) under uncultured bacterium. RNAcentral's name for it is "bacterial SSU rRNA". It matches the Rfam family "Bacterial small subunit ribosomal RNA", at positions 349 to 793 of the family's 1533-position model. The record is from RNAcentral.
CAGCAGUAGGGAAUAUUGCGCAAUGGGGGAAACCCUGACGCAGCAAUGCCACGUGAGUGAGGAAUGCCUUCGGGUUGUAAAGCUCUGUCCUAUAGGAAGAACGGCAUUAUGGUUAAUACCAUAGUGUUUGACGGUACUAUAGAAGAAAGCACCGGCUAACUCCGUGCCAGCAGCCGCGGUAAUACGGAGGGUGCAAGCGUUGUUCGGAUUUACUGGGCGUAAAGCGCGCGCAGGCGGAUCUUCAAGUCAGAUGUGAAAUACUCGGGGCGUUAACCCCGAAACCUAGCGUCUGAAACUGUUGAUCUUGAGUCUCACAGGGGGUAGGGGAAGUUUCACGUGUAGGGUAAAAAGUACCGUAGAGAUGUGAAGGAACACCGGUGGCGAAGGCGCCUACCUGGAUGAGUACUGACGCUGAGGCGCGAAAGCGUGGGGAGCAAACAGGAUUAGAUACCCUGGUAG